GGGAGCUCUUAUUUAUCUUUCUCUUGUUAUAUUUUGCAUUUUUCCCCUGUUUUUGGCAGCUGGGUCUCUUCUGUUUGCUUGGAUCUAUGGUUGUUUGGGUUAUAGUCACUGAUCAAGAUCUUGUUUUUUUCUGAAUUAACCUUUGAUCAUAUUUCCUGUACCUGGGUAUUGAUUGUUUUUCUGAGAUUAGUUUUCCGUGUGCAAACUGCAUUUUGUUAGUAGCUGACUUGAUUGACUGGUCCUUUGCUUUUCUGGGUGGUCCUUCAAUCCUUUAAACUUAGUUUUUAUUUUCUUUUUCUUUUUCCCUGAAAAAAUAUUUGUCCAAAUUUUGUUCUGAUUGUAUGUACUUUUAAGGUACAAAGAUUGUGUAUGGAGUGAACUAGCUGUCUCCUGAUCUUACUCACUUUUUCCUUUAGUAUCAUUUCGUGAAGUUCCGCAUGCAGGUUUUUGAUUGAGUAAUUUUAUUUUUUUUUUCCCUGGGAAAUAAUAAUUUGCUGAUUUAUAUUUGGAUUUUAUGUUCUUUUACUUUUUCACUUUUGAAUUUUUGCUUUUGACCUAUUUUUAGCCAAGUUUCGUAGUAGUUAUGGCUUUUCCUAUGUUGAAACUGUAUUGCCAUCGUGGAGAUUAUGUUGGUAGGUUCUUUUUCUGAUCUGUCCUCUUUAAUCUGUGCUUGGGCUAAGUGAAAUUUGAGUUUGUAAUACUAUCACUUAGUUGUUGCUUGAAUAAUGUAAAUCAGCAUUUAGAUUUCCAUAUUCAGCUAAGAUCACUCCCUCUUUGGAUGUUAGAAAGUUGCAUUUUUACACAGAUUCCCACAACAUAUGCAUUGGACUGCUGAUUCUGAUACUAUCUUGGGUGAUCAGUUUUGGGCAGAGGAUUGGUUUGAUCUAAUGUAGCUUUGAGACUUGUGUGUCAUAUGAUGGCGUCAAAAACUGUUCUAAAGGCUUCCACAACACAACAGAAAUCAUCUGGUGUUCAAAGAGUGGAAGCAAACACCCUUAGGCCUUUGCCUUCACAUGUUUCAAAAACAAGCAAAUCAGAGUUGAUCAAUAAUGAGCAGGUGCCAAGGGCAGUAGAAAACACACCGAAAGAAGUUAUGAUAGAAGCUUUUGAAAAUAAAAAGCUACCAAAUUCUGAUAACAAAGGGACCGCUGAUUCAUUGAGUAAUAAAUUGGAAACAAGUCUUUCUUUACCUACUCUUGAGCAAGAAUCUACUGAAGCAGAUUCUUCCAUUAAUGAUACAAGAGCCGCACAGGAUGUUUCUGUUGAUCAAGAGAAGAAAACAUCAGAAUUUGGAAGUAUUAAAAACAGUUCUGCAUCUGCCAAAUUUAGUGAUGGAACCAGCAGUCUUGUUAAGACUAGUGGAAGUGCCAAGAACAGUGAUCAUGUUGAUUAUGUGGAGAGUGGCAAGAGCAGCAUGUGUAGAGGAAGCACAAGCAGUGAUUUAAGUGAUGAGAGCACCUGUAGCAGCUUCAGUAGCAGUAUCAGUAAACCACAUAAAGCAAAUGACUUGAGAUGGGAAGCCAUCCAAGCUGUUAGAGCAAAAGAUGGAGCUUUGGGCUUGAGUCAUUUUAGACUGCUUAAGAGGUUGGGUUGUGGGGAUAUUGGGAGUGUCUAUCUGUCAGAGCUGAGUGGAACAAAGUGUUAUUUUGCAAUGAAGGUUAUGGACAAAGGCUCUCUAGCCAGUCGUAAGAAGCUACUUCGGGCGCAGACAGAAAGAGAAAUACUGCAAUCUUUGGACCAUCCCUUCCUUCCAGCACUGUAUACCCACUUUGAGACUGAUAAAUUCUCAUGUUUGGUAAUGGAGUUCUGCCCUGGAGGAGACUUGCACACUCUUAGGCAGAGGCAGCCAGGGAAGCAUUUUCAUGAGCCGGCAGUAAAAUUUUACGUAGCAGAGGUCUUGCUAAGUUUGGAAUACCUCCAUAUGCUGGGUAUUAUUUACCGUGAUCUUAAGCCAGAAAAUGUCCUUGUGAGGGAAGAUGGGCAUAUAAUGCUGUCAGACUUUGACCUUUCCCUGCGGUGUGCUGUGAACCCAACUCUUGUCAAAACUUCAUCCCUUGAGUCUGAGCCAUUGCGAAAGUACCCAGUUUAUUGUGUUCAGCCUGCUUGUAUUGAACCUUCAUGCAUCCAGCCAUCUUGUGUAGCUCCUACAACAUGCUAUUCGCCCCGCCUUUUUUCGAUCAAGUCUAAGAAGGAUAGGAAACCCAAAAGUGAACUUGGAAACCAAGUCAGUCCAUUACCCGAGCUAAUAGCAGAGCCAACUGAUGCUAGAUCUAUGUCAUUUGUUGGGACCCAUGAGUAUUUGGCACCUGAAAUUAUAAAGGGUGAAGGUCAUGGAAGUGCUGUGGAUUGGUGGACUUUUGGGAUCUUUCUUUAUGAGCUCUUAUUUGGUAAAACUCCUUUUAAGGGAUCUGGGAAUCGGGCCACACUAUUCAAUGUUGUUGGCCUGCCUCUUCGAUUUCCAGAAUCACCAGUGGUAAGUUUUGCAGCAAGGGAUCUUAUAAGGGGUUUGCUUGUAAAAGAACCACAGCAUAGAUUGGCUUACAAGAGAGGGGCAACAGAAAUAAAGCAACACCCUUUCUUUGAAGGUGUGAAUUGGGCAUUGAUACGCUGCGCUACCCCUCCUGAGAUUCCAAAGCCAGUUGAGAUUGAACAGAUACCUGCGCCACCAUCAACAAGUGAAAAAGCUGUUAUCACUGCAGCUAUUCCAGAUAAAAAAGGUUCCGAUAAUUAUCUGGAGUUUGAUUUCUUUUAGAUGUUAUUGCUUGCAAUUUGCAAAUUGUUUUCAUUUAUGGGGGAAGAAGUGUCUGAAUCUCUCAGGGGUGGUUAGCGAUGGGGACAAAGCUUUUCUUUCUUUUUCCCUCUGAUUUUAUGACUGACAGAUGAUAAGGAAAUGUAUGAUUGUUAUUGCCUGAUAACUUUAAAUCUGGAUUUCAUGACAACUGCAUGGGCAAGCAUGGAGGGGCUUGCAACCUUUUCCACAAGAUUGGUUUUGUGGCAUCAGAAAUUAGUGGGGCUUGGAAGAAUUCGAGUAUCUUAAAAAAUUCUAACUAAACCGAUUUAAUUUGAUUUCA
Molecule: unclassified non-coding RNA, 3071 nt
Filed under: Hevea brasiliensis (rubber tree)
Lineage: Eukaryota; Viridiplantae; Streptophyta; Magnoliopsida; Malpighiales; Euphorbiaceae
Source: RNAcentral